GACGAACGCUGGCGGCGUGCCUAAUACAUGCAAGUAGAACGCUGAAGAGAGGAGCUUGCUCUUCUUGGAUGAGUUGCGAACGGGUGAGUAACGCGUAGGUAACCUGCCUUGUAGCGGGGGAUAACUAUUGGAAACGAUAGCUAAUACCGCAUAACAAUGGAUGACACAUGUCAUUUAUUUGAAAGGGGCAAUUGUUCCACUACAAGAUGGACCUGCGUUGUAUUAGCUAGUAGGUGAGGUAAUGGCUCACCUAGGCGACGAUACAUAGCCGACCUGGGAGGGUGAUCGGCCACACUGGGACUGAGACACGGCCCAGACGCCUACGGGAGGCAGCAGUAGGGAAUCUUCGGCAAUGGGGGCAACCCUGACCGAGCAACGCCGCGUGAGUGAAGAAGGUUGUCGGAUCGUAAAGCUCUGUUGUAAGUCAAGAACGGGUGUGAGAGUGGAAAGUUCACACUGUGACGGUAGCUUACCAGAAAGGGACGGCUAACUACGUG
This 497-nucleotide ribosomal RNA is filed under the name uncultured bacterium. RNAcentral describes it as "partial 16S ribosomal RNA". It matches the Rfam family "Bacterial small subunit ribosomal RNA", at positions 28 to 507 of the family's 1533-position model. The record is from RNAcentral.